GGGGGGCUAACAUGCAAGUCCGACGAGAAGCCCAUUUGUGAUUCCUUCGGGAUGAACUGUUNGGGUGGAAAGUGGCGGACGGGCGAGUAACGCGUGAGUAACCUGCCCAUAAGAGGGGGAUAAUCCUUGGAAACGAGGACUAAUACCGCAUAUUGAAAUUUUAUGGCAUCAUAGAAUUUUGAAAGAUUUAUCGCUUAUGGAUGGACUCGCGUCAGAUUAGCUAGUUGGUGAGGUAACGGCUCACCAAGGCGACGAUCUGUAGCCGAACUGAGAGGUUGAUCGGCCGCAUUGGGACUGAGACACGGCCCAGACUCCUACGGGAGGCAGCAGUGGGGAAUAUUGCGCAAUGGGGGCAACCCUGACGCAGCAACGCCGCGUGCAGGAGGAAGGUCUUCGGAUUGUAAACUGUUGUCGCAGGGGAAGAAGACAGUGACGGUACCCUGUGAGAAAGUUACGGCUAACUACGUGCCAGCAGCCGCGGUAAUACGUAGGUGACAAGCGUUGUCCGGAUUUACUGGGUGUAAAGGGCGCGUAGGCGGGAUAGCAAGUCAGUCGUGAAAUGCCGAGGCUUAACCUCGGAGCUGCGAUUGAAACUGUUAUUCUUGAGUAUCGGAGAGGAAAGCGGAAUUCCUAGUGUAGCGGUGAAAUGCGUAGAUAUUAGGAGGAACACCAGUGGCGAAGGCGGCUUUCUGGACGACAACUGACGCUGAGGCGCGAAAGUGUGGGGAGCAAGCAGGAUUAGAUACCCUG
This 750-nucleotide ribosomal RNA is filed under the name uncultured bacterium. RNAcentral describes it as "bacterial SSU rRNA". It matches the Rfam family "Bacterial small subunit ribosomal RNA", at positions 41 to 789 of the family's 1533-position model. The record is from RNAcentral.